This 377-nucleotide ribosomal RNA is filed under the name uncultured delta proteobacterium. RNAcentral describes it as "bacterial SSU rRNA". It matches the Rfam family "Bacterial small subunit ribosomal RNA", at positions 521 to 896 of the family's 1533-position model. Lineage: Bacteria; Deltaproteobacteria. The record is from RNAcentral.
UAAUACGGGGGGUGCAAGCGUUAUUCGGAAUUACUGGGCGUAAAGAGCGCGUAGGCGGUCUCUUAAGUCGGGUGUGAAAGCCCGGGGCUCAACCCCGGAAGUGCAUUCGAAACUAUGGGACUUGAGUAUGGGAGAGGGAAGUGGAAUUCCUGGUGUAGCGGUGAAAUGCGUAGAUAUCAGGAGGAACAUCGGUGGCGAAGGCGACUUCCUGGACCAAUACUGACGCUGAGGCGCGAAGGCGUGGGGAGCAAACAGGAUUAGAUACCCUGGUAGUCCACGCAGUAAACGGUGAUCACUAGGUGUAGCGGGUAUUGACCCCUGCUGUGCCGCAGCAAACGCAUUAAGUGAUCCGCCUGGGGAGUACGACCGCAAGGUUA